UACGUCUAUAAAAUGCAAAAAUAACUACUGUUUUUAACGAGGUAAAAAUGUAUAGAACUUAUCUGAAUGAGUUUUUAGUAAUCUAUUUUUUUAAAAUUUUAAUUUUACUAUCUAACUUUUCAAUUUAUUUGAUUUGAAUCAGUUAAUGACGAAACAAAUUGAAAGAUUAGAUAGUAAAAUUAAAAUUUUAAAUGAUGGGUUAUAACUAAAUCAAAAUGAUCCAUAGUUCAAUAAGUUCUAUACGUUUUCACCUUUUAAAAAAUUUAAGCUAUCUGAAAAAAUACAAAAUAAUUAUUAUAUUUUCAAAAGUGAACGAUAUUUUUAUAUUCUAUCUCAUAGAAACUCAAGUAUCAAGUAUGAGGUUGUACAAAUGUUUCAUCAAAUUUCUGCAGUAGACCCUCUAGGUGGCCCUUCCUCUGUCUCUUUCUAUUACUCUAUCUAGUCUUUUCCACUCGCCGCAUUAUUCUUUGCGGCCUUUCGGCCGGAAUUCGGCUAACACUGUCAGACUUCUGUCACCCUUUUCGGCCCGUCGGAGUUUCCACUUGGGCGUCGCGAGUAUCUUUAUAGUGGUACCUGACAGACAAGAUAAAAUUUUAUUAGAAAACUCUCUAAUAAUGUCUCGUUAAAGAGCUUCAGAUUUAUUGUCACGUAUUAGUUUUGUCUUUAUUUACUAAUUUGCUAUAUAUUUUUAAUACUUUUAAAAAAUUAAAUUCUAAAAAAAAGAAUUAUAACCCUUAAAUAGAGUUAAAUAGAGUUGAAAGUGACGACAGAUUGAGAGGUGUCGCGUUGGAGAGCUCCUUACUUAAGUUUUUUUCAACGAAUGUGCUGGUAU
RNAcentral lists this long non-coding RNA (832 nucleotides) under Ananas comosus (pineapple). Its description in RNAcentral is "long non-coding RNA (ACOM_LNC007721)". Lineage: Eukaryota; Viridiplantae; Streptophyta; Magnoliopsida; Poales; Bromeliaceae. The record is from RNAcentral.